RNAcentral lists this long non-coding RNA (225 nucleotides) under Panax ginseng (ginseng). RNAcentral's name for it is "long non-coding RNA (PGIN_LNC016989)". The record is from RNAcentral. Lineage: Eukaryota; Viridiplantae; Streptophyta; Magnoliopsida; Apiales; Araliaceae.
UUUUUAGUUUGGAAAUUUCUCAAAUUGACUUUUAAAAGUGAAUAAUGUUAAUAAUUUGGAACGGAGGGAGUAUAUUAUACAUGUACUUGAGGUAUUGAUGAAACUUUUCCAAGAAACUGAGUCAGCCAAACCUCAUUUGUUUAAACUAUGGCCUGAUAUUGUCAAAUAUGUGGCCGUCCACCUGAUUCCUAGGAAAAACCAGGUGCUCCUAAUAUUAUGCUGCCU